This 599-nucleotide ribosomal RNA is filed under the name uncultured fungus. RNAcentral's name for it is "eukaryotic LSU rRNA". The stretch from base 195 to 348 matches the Rfam family "5.8S ribosomal RNA". The record is from RNAcentral. Lineage: Eukaryota; Fungi.
AGUAAAAGUCGUAACAAGGUUUCCGUAGGUGAACCUGCGGAAGGAUCAUUACAUUACAGUAGCCUAGCUACUUGUUUAUACCCUUGUUUUUUUGCGCACCUAAUUGUAUCCUCGGUGGGCUUGCUCGCCGGUUGGACAACAACUAUAACCUUUUGAAUCUUCAAUCAGCGUCUGAAAUAAUUUUAAAUAAUUACAACUUUCAACAACGGAUCUCUUGGUUCUGGCAUCGAUGAAGAACGCAGCGAAAUGCGAUAAGUAGUGUGAAUUGCAGAAUUCAGUGAAUCAUCGAAUCUUUGAACGCACAUUGCGCCCCUUGGUAUUCCAUGGGGCAUGCCUGUUCGAGCGUCAUUUGUACCCUCAAGCUUUGCUUGGUGUUGGGCGUGUUGUCUGUCCCUUUUAUGGACAGACUCGCCUUAAAGUAAUUGGCAGCCAGUGUUUUUGGCAGUAAGCGCAGCACAUUUUGCGUCUUAGUCCCUAAACAGUGGCAUCCAGAAAGCCUCUUUCUCACUUUUGACCUCGGAUCAGGUAGGGAUACCCGCUGAACUUAAGCAUAUCAAUAAGCGGAGGAAAAGAAACCAACAGGGAUUGCCUUAGUAACG